This 981-nucleotide ribosomal RNA is filed under the name uncultured archaeon. RNAcentral describes it as "bacterial SSU rRNA". It matches the Rfam family "Archaeal small subunit ribosomal RNA", at positions 422 to 1409 of the family's 1478-position model. The record is from RNAcentral.
AGGUGGUGGUGGAAUAAGAGCUGGGCAAGACCGGUGCCAGCCGCCGCGGUAAUACCGGCAGCUCGAGUGAUGGCCGAUCUUAUUGGGCCUAAAGCGUCCGUAGCCGGCCACGCAAGUCCAUCGGGAAAUCCGCCAGCCUAACUGGCGGGCGUCCGGUGGAAACUGUGUGGCUUGGGACCGGAAGACCCAACAGGUACGUCUUGGGUAGGAGUGAAAUCCCGUAAUCCUGGACGGACCACCGAUAGCGAAAGCAUGUUGGGAAGACGGAUCCGACGGUGAGGGACGAAAGCCAGGGUCUCGAACCGGAUUAGAUACCCGGGUAGUCCUGGCCGUAAACGACGUCUGCUAGGUGUGGCUCCCACUACGAGUGGGUGCUGUGCCGUAGGGGAGCCGCUAAGCAGACCGCCUGGGAAGUACGUCCGCAAGGAUGAAACUUAAAGGAAUUGGCGGGGGAGCACUACAACCGGAGGAGCCUGCGGUUUAAUUGGACUCAACGCCGGACAUCUCACCAGCACCGACAACAGCAAUGACGACCAGGUUGAUGACCUUGUCAGAGCUGUUGAGAGGAGGUGCAUGGCCGCCGUCAGCUCGUACCGUGAGGCGUCCUGUUAAGUCAGGCAACGAGCGAGACCCGCACUCCUAAUUGCCAGCACCGGCUUCGGCCGGGUGGGUACAUUAGGAGGACUGCCGUGGCUAACACGGAGGAAGGAACGGGCAACGGUAGGUCAGUAUGCCCCGAAUGUGCUGGGCUGCACGCGGGCUACAAUGGCCAAGACGAUGGGUUCCCACCUCGAGAGAGGGCGGUAAUCUCCUAAACUUGGUCGUAGUUCGGAUUGAGGGCUGAAACCCGCCCUCAUGAAGCUGGAUUCGGUAGUAAUCGCGUGUCAGCAGCGCGCGGUGAAUACGUCCCUGCUCCUUGCACACACCGCCCGUCAAAGCACCCGAGUGGGGUCCGGAUGAGGCCCAGUCCUGGGUCGAAUC